Long non-coding RNA from Dermochelys coriacea (leatherback sea turtle), 684 nucleotides. RefSeq lists it as uncharacterized. Lineage: Eukaryota; Metazoa; Chordata; Testudines; Dermochelyidae. The transcript is spliced from 4 exons. The record is from RefSeq and is a predicted model, not a curated record.
CAGUGAGCCACACCCUGCCACACCUGCAAGAGAUGCACAGACUGCAGGAGUUAAAAGGAAGCAGAACAGCCCACCUGUGGGCAUAACAGGGGAGAGACUUAGAACUGACCUGCUGGAGGGCCAGGGCACAAGAGGAGACAGCUGAGAGGGAGAGAGUUAUUGCGUCUGACUGCAAAAAGGUGCCAAGUGAUGAGGACUGAAACACAGAUAGAUUAAAUGGCUUUCCCAAGGUCACAUAAUGAGUCUGUGGAGGAGCUGGGAUUUGAGAAACUCUCUUCAGCUGAGCAGGGUUUUUUUUACUUUCUCCAUGAGACUUCAUAUUGACUGCUGAAUAAUGAUUGCUGUGAUGCAAGCUCAAGAGAACAAUUUUUUUAUACCAUAAACACAAUAUGUAUAAUUCAGUUAUAUUUGCAGAGAGGAUUGCAAUAUGUUUAAACAAUGUAGGUCUAGAUUCAUCAAAAUGUGUUGCUGACUCCUGAUGUUUUGACUUUUGUCAAGUUUCAUUAACUUAGCACAUCUACUAUUUCAAGUCCUAUUUCCAUAAGAGAUUCUUGAAAGGAUUAGGAGCUGGAAAAAUGUAAUAGUAGAUUUCAAUUUUCUGAGGGUCAAGUUCUUGACAGUACAUGGUAUCUUGCUGGUAGGUGCUUCCAGCUGCCUGUAGGAAUAAAGUUUUUGUUUCUUAAA